GACGAACGCUGGCGGCGUGCCUAAUACAUGCAAGUAGAACGCUGAAGAGAGGAGCUUGCUCUUCUUGGAUGAGUUGCGAACGGGUGAGUAACGCGUAGGUAACCUGCCUUGUAGCGGGGGAUAACUAUUGGAAACGAUAGCUAAUACCGCAUAACAAUGAGUGACACAUGUCAUUUAUUUGAAAGGGGCAAUUGCUCCACUACAAGAUGGACCUGCGUUGUAUUAGCUAGUAGGUGAGGUAACGGCUCACCUAGGCGACGAUACAUAGCCGACCUGAGAGGGUGAUCGGCCACACUGGGACUGAGACACGGCCCAGACUCCUACGGGAGGCAGCAGUAGGGAAUUUUCGGCAAUGGGGGCAACCCUGACCGAGCAACGCCGCGUGAGUGAAGAAGGUUUUCGGAUCGUAAAGCUCUGUUGUAAGUCAAGAACGAGUGUGAGAGUGGAAAGUUCACACUGUGACGGUAGCUUACCAGAAAGGGACGGCUAACUACGUGCCAGCAGCCGCGGUAAUACGUAGGUCCCGAGCGUUGUCCGGAUUUAUUGGGCGUAAAGCGAGCGCAGGCGGUUUGAUAAGUCUGAAGUUAAAGGCUGUGGCUCAACCAUAGUUCGCUUUGGAAACUGUCAAACUUGAGUGCAGAAGGGGAGAGUGGAAUUCCAUGUGUAGCGGUGAAAUGCGUAGAUAUAUGGAGGAACACCGGUGGCGAAAGCGGCUCUCUGGUCUGUAACUGACGCUGAGGCUCGAAAGCGUGGGGAGCGAACAGG
This 765-nucleotide ribosomal RNA is filed under the name uncultured Streptococcus sp. RNAcentral's name for it is "bacterial SSU rRNA". It matches the Rfam family "Bacterial small subunit ribosomal RNA", at positions 28 to 776 of the family's 1533-position model. The record is from RNAcentral. Lineage: Bacteria; Bacillati; Bacillota; Bacilli; Lactobacillales; Streptococcaceae.